This 1158-nucleotide long non-coding RNA is filed under the name Macaca mulatta (Rhesus monkey). RNAcentral's name for it is "lncRNA (ENSMMUG00000056139.1)". Lineage: Eukaryota; Metazoa; Chordata; Mammalia; Primates; Cercopithecidae. The record is from RNAcentral.
CGCAGGCGUGGGGUUGGGAGGCUUUGCGGGAGAAGCCCCGGAGUAGAUGCUGCCAGGUCUGUGACUGAGGGAGAUGAUCACUGUAGCCAGGAAAAUAGACUGGACAUGCGAGAAGCAAUAGGAAGAACAUGGCGUAACAGCUCGGCCAUGCGCGCAGAUGGGUGCGGUGGGGAGAGGAACUGCUUGAGAUGGACCCGCUCUCCAGAGAGACGCCCUUCCGGCUGCGGAGGCCUGAGCCAGGUCUGGAGGAGAACUGCGCUCUGCCUGUCCAGGCGGAGGGAGGCCGUUCUCCUCAGGCAGAUAAAGAGAGCAAGUACUUAACGGAGACACACGGCAGCAUGGAGACUGGGGUCACCCCACAACCGUUGGAGCAGCUGUGGUCUUUCCAUUAAGAGGUAAAAUUUGCAUCUGGUCCACACCACUGUGCUCUGAAUAUCAGAAACGGGAAGCAGUGCCCAAUGCUUCCCGCAAUGCUAGGACAAGUCACAGCAGCACAACAUCUGCAGCUGGAGAGGGGAUCAGCCUUUUCCAGAACAUUCCCCUCCUGAGCCAAGGGGAACGGUGUGGUGGAAGCCAGGCUCGCUUCUCUCUGUUGGGGGGAAGGGGGGGUCAAGGGUGGAGGGCUGGGAGGUGUCAGGUGACCACCCAAAGAAAGGUCUCAAGGUCAGGGAAUCCUGGGGCAGGGUGCUGCCUCUUCAGAGUGUGGGAUUUUAAAAGCCCAAAGGAGAACUUAGAUCCAAGGUGGGAGCUACAGCUUGCACUUCCUGCCUCGAUGGUCUUGCCUGUCCCUUUAGAUGGGGUGAGGCACCAUGUGGUCUGUGCUCAGAAAGGGUUAAGUCUCACCCGCAGCCCUGGGAUCUGUCAGCAUUGGCGAUGAGGCUUCCUGCGGGGAGACCACUACCUUGGAGCGGGCCAGAGCCUGGUGUCCCAAGAGAGAUGGUCACAGACUCCCUAGAGGGAUGGUGUGUGGUCACUAGGGAUGGAAAGGAAUUGACCUUUACUGGGCAGUGACCAUGCGCCCGGCCCAGGGGCAGGGAUCACAUCUCAGCUCCAGGUCACCGUUUCAAGACAGGUGCGAUGCUCUCUGUUUUAUAGAAAAGGAAACUGAGUCUCUGUGGGCCUGGUCCUAACCCAGUCACAUGCAAGCAUUCAUGCCUG